CGAAUACGUGUACGCUGCGUGUGAUAAAACGUCAUCUCGCGUUUAUGUCUACGACCUGCAAUCCUGCCUCCAACAGUCCUGCGUCUUAUGUAGAUUCGUCUUUAUCGUUCAAAACGCGAUCGCGACAAGAUGUCGGAGCACGACGACUCUCCGUGAUCAUUAACAUUAAUAAUAUAAUUAUCGUACCGUGAAUUUAGCUAAUGCCACAAUUGACGACUCGUAAGCAUAUAUCGAGAUAACGAUUAUUCAUUAAAGUAAAUAUUUUACGUUACAAUACUCCGUCGUAGCGGAGUAAAAUUCGUGUCGUGUGUGAUCAACGACGGGAAUGCCGAAAGUAUCAUGCACGUUUUACGUCCUUACGCGAUUUUAUGUGUGAAGACCUUAAUUAGUGCGUAGCUAAUCGUGUUUGCGAAUGAGUGUCGUAUGAGUGCGAUUAACAUCUGUGAGGAGCACGGGAAGAACAUCGGUUGAUGGUGGAGCAACUUACGGAUUUGUGAGAUUUUAUUUCGCAGAUCGCUUUUGCCAGAUACGUGGAUGAAUAUUUCAUUUUAUUCAAUCUUCGGUAAGCCGUUCUCCGUUCCCCAUUCGCGGGGCAGAAAGAUGGCCCUUGGGAUCACGCAGAUCGACGCAGCUGGCUACGUCCCCUAGACGCUCGUUCGUCCACCGUAUAUUCCCUUUUCGAAUUUCCGAAAGAUUCGCGUGAGUCGAGAACAUUACUCUAGGAGAAGAAAUAUGGCGUAAAUAAUUGCGUGAGUUAUAAUUAUAAUGGAAAG
Molecule: long non-coding RNA, 773 nt
Organism: Temnothorax curvispinosus
Lineage: Eukaryota; Metazoa; Arthropoda; Insecta; Hymenoptera; Formicidae
Exons: 4
Source: RefSeq, a predicted model, not a curated record